AUGAGGAGCCCUGGGGCCCCACUCAAGCACAGGCAGGAGCAAGAGAUGGAACGGGAGACAGGAAGCGCCCGUCGACAGGGGCCUCACAGUGAACAGCCUGACCCGGUCCAAGUACUGCUGACACCCAGUCAGGAGGAGGAGGAGGACCAGGCCGCGCCCAGACAGGACUCAGCUUUGGGCCAGGACCCCACCCACCCUGGAGCUGCGCUUGUCCGGAGCAGCCCUCACCCCUGUGAACCUUGUAGGGAGGUGGAGCAGGACGGAGGGGUAGGGAAGAGAGGGGAGGAGGGUGAGGCUGGUAGGGAGGGGGUGGGGGUGAGGCUGUGCGAGUUGCUGCAGGUGGGGGGGGUGAGCGUCAGACCUCUGGGGAGACAUUUGGCCAUUUCCCUGCCCUCGCUUCCUCUGCGCCUCUGGGAUCCGCACGGCUCACACCUGGAACCCCUUCACACACACCCUCCCCCCCCAUCCUCGCCUCCUCCCCCACCUUCUUCUGUGGAAUCUUCUGGGCCAAGCAAACCUUUCACGCCCCUCUGGCAGCCCCCCCGGCCCCACUCGUCCGCCACGGCCGCUCCGCCCUGGCCACCCGACAGCACGCCUCACUGGUCCUCCUGGAGCCUGGACGGUCCCAACGCGGUGGUGACACCAUACGACACCCCCCCAGACCGCUGCAUCCCCAUCCAGACGCAGACCUCCGGCCAGCACGCCAGCUUCAGCUGCCAGUCCUCUCCGGGUCACUACAGCUCCCAGCAUGCCCUGGGGCGCCACAGCUGUGACCACGAAGAGGCAGAGCUGUCUGAGCUGGACUCCCUAUAUCAAGCCAGCCUCUUAGCUGGGAGGACAGGUACACACACACACACACACACACACACACACACACACACACACACACACACACAGUGUUUUGAGCAGCAUCCUCCUCCGUGUGUGUGUUCAGGCUGCAGCCCGUCAGAGAGGCUUAUAUCCAGGGUGGGAGGGCAGGCUCGCUCCAAGACCCCCAACGCAGACAUGGAGAGGAGUGCGUACGGGGCGGACUGCACCAGAAGCCCCGCCUACCUCAACAAGGUGACGUCUAUGCAGGUAUCCCUCGCAGGUAUCUCUCGUGGCUUUGCGUUCCAGCACCGACAGACAUUUUGUAACCCCUCAGCCAAUGGCGUUGCAGGACUUCCGUUUGGGGGCGGAGCCUGAUGAUGGGGAGAACCCGAGGCGAAUCGGACGCAGCCUGAGCGGAACCGUGGUGGCGUCGCGUCGCGGUCGUCUGACCGCCACCCGCAGCUUUGUGAGUUGGACUUCCUGCGCUCUGCUGCCGCCUCGUGGCCGCGCUCUGGAACUGCACUUGCCUGAUGUCCUGUCGCUUCACAUUCUGCUGUUCCCUGUGCUCUUCUCCCCCUCUUGCUGUUCGUCUCCUUCCGGUCCUGCUUUUCCAUCCGGGACGUGUCCAUCUGUCCCUCUCUCUGUCUCUAAGGUGAAGCAGGCUGAUGUCAGUCCCCUCUCCCUGCUUACUUCCUCUUUUCUGAGUCCCUGUUGCUCCUCCACCACCAUCACCUCCUCCAUCCUCCUCAUCACCAACACCUCCUAUCACCACCUCCCUCCUCCGCUUCACAGGUAAAGACUGCACUGAGCUCAUAUGAUGUUUUAUUAAGGGGAACAGUCUCGGCUCCCUUUGGUGCCAGAUCGGACUCCAAUGACAAACUCUCCAUUUGGGAAUUUGGGAAUCUUCUUUGGGUUGUAAAACCAGAUGAAUCUGGCACCAAAGUAAGCGAAGCUGGUUUUUGUGCCUGGUAAAAAUGUGACGCGUCAAAACUUCAUAUUUUUCUGUCCCCUUGAGGUCAUUUUAAACUCCGUGCACGUUCCUGCCACCGUGCACGCUAGCUCAUGUUACACUUCCAUGAACUUCCUCUUAAAUUCAUCCAUGAACGGACGCCUCAGGUGAUCGUUUUACCCGUAAAUCUGCCCAAACCUCAGAGGUUGUGGGGCUCUGGUGGAUCUCUCUGGACCCGUGUUCUGUAGCAGCAGGUUCUGGCCCGGCCCGGGUCAGUGCUAACGUCAGCCGUCUGUCUCUCCUGGCAGGAGGUGUCGGGCGGCGCCGGGGCCUUCUGGUUGUGUCUGACAGGCGUCAGGUUGUCCUCCAACGGUCCCUCACAGCUUCAGUAACGUCGCAGCCUGGUCCGUCUCCAGCUCAGCCCCCCUACGUGGACCCGGGGUCGGCUCUGGGGGAUCGGCCCGCCAUCCUCGUCCUGCUCGCUGUAUUUUUUGGAACAUGCAAAGGCAGCCACAUGCACGCUCACAUGCACAGCUGUGCGCCCUGCUUCGCCUCCCCUCACCUUCUCACCUUCUUGUCUAUGCAGUCAUUCUGACCCCUAACUCCAACCUCACCCCCAGCGGGCCCUCGUCCUCCUGGGACUCUUGUCUUUGCCCCCCUCCUGGGCUCUCAGAGGGUUCCUCUGUGCGAUCAACCUGGUUGGAGAGCCUCGGCUCACACCUUCUCUGGAUCCCAUUGAAGCCCCCCCCACACACGGGACCCUCGGCUCAGGAGGAGGCUCUCACCACGAAGCCACGCCUCUUCCUCUUUCUUUAGGGCAUUUCCUGCUGGGACGCUCACGUAGCCUGAGUGACAGGCCUGUUUCUCCUUCCUGAGACGGAACUCUCAUCACAACCGUCUUGUACAGACAAACUGACGUAUGAAACCUGUAUGUUAGUGAAUAAGACCUUAUGGAAUGUUGAUAAUGAUCAUUAACAAAUCUUGGUACAUUUAACAGUGAUACUUCCUCACGUCUGCAUUCCCAGUAGGAGUGGAGUGCACUUCAAAAGUGUCUAGCUGGAGCCCCCCCCCCAAAAAAACCAGACUAAAACACUCGCUGACCUACUGACGGCCCUCCCGUUUCUACCGGGAGAUUAAACAGAGAAGCUUUUUUCUUUCCUCCCCCCUCGCUCUCGCUCUUUUCUUUCUCCCAAAGAGGAACUAGAAACAGGAACCACGGGCGGAAGGAGACGCAACAGGGAAACGCUUCGCCUGAGCGGAGCGAUGAUACAAGUGCACUUUGUGGAGGUCAGAGAUGUUUGAAAGGCUGCAGGUGAUCUUAUUACCCCCCCCCCCCCCCCCACUGAAGCCUGGAUGUGAGCAGGAGACUCGUCUUCACUGACGUGUCCAGCGUCAACGUGCUUUAUAUGACGUAUUUGAGGUAUAUUUUCAGAGAUGUCAACCCUUCCUCAGUUGUAUCGACCCCCCCCCGCAGCACCAAGGAGCUUUCUGACAUGUGCAGAGUACAUAUAUUCUAUGCUUUAUUCUAAAACCUAUGAUAACUAAGUCCUUAUACGAGAGGCCAAUGUAAAUCUAGCCGAAGUCGACAGAUUGUUGGAACUAAACCAAAGGUUGGCGCUGAACUCAGAGAGUCUGUUGAACGUUCGCCACUUUCUUUUCUUCUGGCUCCGUUUCUUGAUGGUUUCCUUGUUUUUCGGGUUCUGGAUGUGGGAGAAUGUAGCCAAUUGUAGCGCAUGAGUCUGCUAUGCAAAUCAACCCUCCCUCGCUAUCCUGUAUCAGAGACAGCCAGGAGGCCACACCCCCCCGCGACGGGCGCUCUCACCUGGAGAUGAAGAUGAGGAGGAGGAGGAGGAGGAGGAGGAGACGUUAAAGCUGCUGGGAACUUUGCUGCUCUGCAUCGAAGUCGCUCUUUUAACCGAUGGGAUGCAAAAAGAGCGACCUGCUGGGGAGGGAGAGCAGGAGUGAGUGAGUGAGUGUGACAUUAGUGACAGGGUGAACGUGACAUCAGGGUGAACGUGAACGUGACAUCAGGGUGAACGUGAACGCGACAUCAGGGUGAACGUGAACGCGACAUCAGGGUGAAUGUGAACGCGACAUCAGGGUGAACGUGAACGCGACAUCAGGGUGAACGUGACAUCAGGGUGAACGUGAACGCGACAUCAGGGUGAACGUGACAUCAGGGUGAACGUGAACGCGACAUCAGGGUGAACGUGACAUCAGGGUGAAUGUGACAUCAGGGUGAAUGUGAACGCGACAUCAGGGUGAACGUGAACGUGACAUCAGGGUGAACGUGAACGUGACAUCAGGGUGAACGUGAACGCGACAUCAGGGUGAACGUGACAUCAGGGUGAACGUGAACGCGACAUCAGGGUGAACGUGAACGCGACAUCAGGGUGAACGUGACAUCAGGGUGAACGUGUGUUUGUGAGCGAUGGCCAGAGAGGAGGGGAGGUGGCGCUGGUGGUCGGGUCUGUGUGGGUGUGUGUAGACUGUGUGUUAGUCCUGGGGUGGUGUUGCUCGGGGAAAGAGGGAACCUGUAUUUUUGCAAUAAAGUUAUUACCGAUGCACCCCCACAGGGGGCGCCACCACCAUGCUGGGUCUCAGCGUUGUCAUUUCAUGUUGAAGAUUGCCAGUUAAAAGCUAUCGUUUAAAUCCUCGUGCACGUUUAGCAUUUCUGUCAGAAAAGAGGAGUUAAACUGUUACAUUCCCCCAGUCAAACAUUCUCCUGCAACUAUCUCGAAGAUGAACCAAAGUCUCCAACUUGUCUGAACCAGCACUUCUUCCUCCCGCCACCAGGCGGCAGCAGUGACCCGCCGAGCCGCCACGCGGAGCGUUCAUCCGCACUGACGUCACGGACACGGUGUUAAGUUGGAACCAACAUCCUCCCAACCUGAUUUAAAGACAAACCUUGUUUCAGGUGUUUGCGAGUUCAAAUCUCUUGUUUUAU
Molecule: long non-coding RNA, 4706 nt
Filed under: Takifugu rubripes (torafugu)
Lineage: Eukaryota; Metazoa; Chordata; Actinopteri; Tetraodontiformes; Tetraodontidae
Description: lncRNA (ENSTRUG00000030075.1)
Source: RNAcentral